RNAcentral lists this ribosomal RNA (506 nucleotides) under uncultured bacterium. Its description in RNAcentral is "partial 16S ribosomal RNA". It matches the Rfam family "Bacterial small subunit ribosomal RNA", at positions 29 to 523 of the family's 1533-position model. The record is from RNAcentral.
AGUGAACGCUGGCGGUAGGCCUAACACAUGCAAGUCGAACGGCAGCACAGGAGAGCUUGCUCUCUGGGUGGCGAGUGGCGGACGGGUGAGGAAUACAUCGGAAUCUACUCUGUCGUGGGGGAUAACGUAGGGAAACUUACGCUAAUACCGCAUACGACCUACGGGUGAAAGCAGGGGAUCGUCGGACCUUGCGCGAUUGAAUGAGCCGAUGUCGGAUUAGCUAGUUGGCGGGGUAAAGGCCCACCAAGGCGACGAUCCGUAGCUGGUCGGAGAGGAUGAUCAGCCACACUGGAACUGAGACACGGUCCAGACUCCUACGGGAGGCAGCAGUGGGGAAUAUUGGACAAUGGGCGCAAGCCUGAUCCAGCCAUACCGCGUGGGUGAAGAAGGCCUUCGGGUUGUAAAGCCCUUUUGUUGGGAAAGAAAUCCAGCUGGCUAAUACCCGGUUGGGAUGACGGUACCCAAAGAAUAAGCACCGGCUAACUUCGUGCCAGCAGCCGCCGUAA